GAUGAACGCUGGCGGCGUGCCUAAUACAUGCAAGUCGAGCGAACAGACGAGGAGCUUGCUCCUCUGACGUUAGCGGCGGACGGGUGAGUAACACGUGGAUAACCUACCUAUAAGACUGGGAUAACUUCGGGAAACCGGAGCUAGUACCGGAUAAUAUAUUGAACCGCAUGGUUCAAUAGUGAAAGACGGUUUUGCUGUCACUUAUAGAUGGAUCCGCGCCGCAUUAGCUAGUUGGUAAGGUAACGGCUUACCAAGGCAACGAUGCGUAGCCGACCUGAGAGCAUGGGCGGCCAGGCUGGGGUUCGCCCACGGCCCAGCCUCCUACGGGCGGCAGCGUGGCGGAGUCUUCGGCCUGGCCCGCAUGAUUGACCGUGCAACCACGCGGGAGUGAUGAUGGGCUCCGGAUCGUAAGCCGGUGUUAUUAGGGAAGACCCAAACUGCCAUUGGCUGAGGCCGGCUGGCCGGUGCCGAACCAGAAGGUGCCGGCUAGCCCCUUG
This 497-nucleotide ribosomal RNA is filed under the name uncultured bacterium. RNAcentral's name for it is "partial 16S ribosomal RNA". It matches the Rfam family "Bacterial small subunit ribosomal RNA", at positions 28 to 507 of the family's 1533-position model. The record is from RNAcentral.